RNAcentral lists this unclassified non-coding RNA (945 nucleotides) under Amphimedon queenslandica. RNAcentral describes it as "arpin-like, transcript variant X3". The record is from RNAcentral. Lineage: Eukaryota; Metazoa; Porifera; Demospongiae; Haplosclerida; Niphatidae.
CUUGAUCUAUCCGGAAAUGAACGGAAAUUGAAGAUGAGGAGAAGGAGGAGGAGUUGAGACUCUAACACUCAAAAUGAGUCCAAUGCACAUGAUAUAUGAUGAUACCCCGUUACAGCAGGAGGGGGUGAAGGUCAGUAAGUGGAAGAGCGAGUGGAACUCGAGCCAACUACAAAGUGGUAGGGGUGUACUGCUGGAGGGUGUGUUUCAUAAGAAGAGACGACACAUUAUACAAGACACUAGCAAUAAGAAGUGUUGUUUUUGUGUCUUCCAUAUUGAAUUUGAUUGUGCUUGCUAGAGAAAGUUUGAUGCUGAAGGCAAAGAAAUUGAACCGAACUUUGGGCAAACAGCAAAAGUAAAAACUAGCUACCUCAACUCAUCAUACAAAACUGUUGCCAAGGGAACACCCGACACAUUGAGUUAUGCCGAAGUGUGUGAAAGAGUUUGUUCUGAUCUGGUUGGGUUUGAGACAGGCAGUCACUCUCAGUCGAUUUGUUUUUGGGGAGAGAAUGAGAGCUAUGAUCAUGUGGAGUGUAGCCCAGGACAAAGAAUUAGACUGAAGACAAGAAGAGACUCUCUACUGAUAGAGUCAUUCACAAAGCUGGAUAGUGAUCAGCGAGCUCACUCAUCAAACUACACUGGAGGAGAGAAGACAGGACAGAGCUGGACUGAUAAGGUACUCGGACACAAAUCAACUGAUGAACCCAGCCAGGGAACAGGAGGAGGAGGAGGAAAAUGAGAGUAUGACUAUCAUUGGUGUUUGUGAUAAUGGAACUGUAUGGAGGUGGGAUGCUAAAUCAUAAAGAACCAAUAAUACACUCAACACACAAACUUAUUGUAAUACACUGUACAUCAGUAUACUGUGUAUACACCAUUAUUUUUCUAACAAACAAUAAUACAUUUUAAUUAUCAUUCACUGAUGCUAAAAGUAUAGUGUCAUGACUUGAA